GCUCGCUUGCUCUGCCGGCGACCGGCGCACGGGUGAGUAACACGUAUGCAACCUGCCCUCCGCAGGGGGAUAACCCGGAGAAAUCCGGACUAAUACCGCGUGGUACACUUGUGGGGCAUCCCACGGGUGUUAAAAGGAAGUGAUUCCGGCGGAGGAUGGGCAUGCGGCGCAUUAGCUGGUUGGCGGGGUAACGGCCCACCAAGGCGACGAUGCGUAGGGGUUCUGAGAGGAAGGUCCCCCACACUGGUACUGAGACACGGACCAGACUCCUACGGGAGGCAGCAGUGAGGAAUAUUGGUCAAUGGGCGGGAGCCUGAACCAGCCAAGUCGCGUGAGGGAAGACGGUCCUAUGGAUUGCAAACCUCUUUAGGCGGGGAGCAAUGCCGGGCACGCGUGCCCGGAGGGAGAGUACCCGCAGAAUAAGCAUCGGCUAACUCCGUGCCAGCAGCCGCGGUAAUACGGAGGAUGCGAGCGUUAUCCGGAUUUAUUGGGUUUAAAGGGUGCGUAGGCGGAUUUUUAAGUCAGCGGUAAAAUGUCCGGGCUCAACCCGGGCCGGCCGUUGAAACUGGGGAUCUUGAGUGGGCGAGAAGUAUGCGGAACGCGUGGUGUAGCGGUGAAACGCAUAGAUAUCACGCAGAACUCCGAUUGCGAAGGCAGCAUACCGGCGCCCGACUGACGCU
Molecule: ribosomal RNA, 680 nt
Filed under: uncultured bacterium
Lineage: Bacteria
Description: bacterial SSU rRNA
Rfam family: Bacterial small subunit ribosomal RNA
Source: RNAcentral